This 689-nucleotide long non-coding RNA is filed under the name Mus musculus (house mouse). RNAcentral describes it as "distal regulatory enhancer RNA of Gata3 transcript variant 1". The record is from RNAcentral. Lineage: Eukaryota; Metazoa; Chordata; Mammalia; Rodentia; Muridae.
CUCUGUCACUAAGGGUUUGAAUGUCGCUUCAGGUGCCUGAGCAUCGCAUGGGAAUGUUUCUCUGAACAAGGUCCCUGAUGGAUAGAUGGUUUUCUGUGUUCUUGAUUCAAACCCUCGCCAAUUCAACAUGUCUCCUUCAUUACCUGACAGUUAGAGUUAGUCUCCUGCUUAAAGGACUCCAGAAAGCACCUGGCCAAGUUACCGAGAGAUGAUGCUUGUGGGUGUGAUCCUGAGUGAAGACAAGACGACUGGCUGUGAGGACAUGGAGCAAGGUGGCGGCCACUUCACUGGGAAUUUCAAAUAUGAAUAUUUUGUGUCAAGAAGAGGGAAGAAAAUGAGCAGCCAAACUCUGAUCCUCUCUGAAGUCGAAUUAGCGCUCAGAAGACAAUGAAAUUCUACCCUACGCUCCUGCUGCCACCGUGACCUGCAGACUCACCUGAAGCCGUCACUUUAUGACUGCGUGGAGCUUUGCUCUUCACUCUGGACUAUUCAAGUGGAAGAAGGAAGAGGAGAUGAAGGAAUCUGGGGCUUUGACAUAGCAGAUGGCAGCAUCGUUUGCAGAUAAACUUCUAUGGUAUCAUCCACAUUUUACAGAGAAGCAUGGGACACAGCAAGGAAGAAGUAAAAUCUAGAUUCAAAUUCUACAGCCUAACUCAGAAGAUCAUACUCUUAGUAAAUAUUGUUUAUAU